This 6434-nucleotide long non-coding RNA is filed under the name Sus scrofa (pig). RNAcentral describes it as "lncRNA (ENSSSCG00000054332.1)". The record is from RNAcentral. Lineage: Eukaryota; Metazoa; Chordata; Mammalia; Artiodactyla; Suidae.
UUUUUGUUGCUGCUUUUAAUAUUCUCUCUUUAUCUUUAAUUUUUGCCAUUUUAAUUACAUCCUAAUGUGUUCCUCUUUGGAUUAAUACAUUUUGGAACUCUCUGCACUUCUUUCAUUGGGAUAUCUAUUACAUUUCUAGGUUUUCUAGGAUGUUUUCAGCCAUUAUAUCUUCAAAUAUGUUCUCUGCCCCUUUCUCUCACUCUAUUCUCCUUCUGCAGGUAUUAGUAUGCUUGAUGUUGUCCCAGUAGUCUCUUAAACUGUCCUCAUUUCUUCCAUUCUUUUUUUUUUCUGUUCAGCAGCAUUGAUUUCCAUUUCUCUGUCUUCCAGCUCAUUGAUCUGUUCCUCUAUCAUUUAGUCUGCUGUUGAUUCCUUCUAGUGUAUUUUUCAUUUCAUUUUUUGUAUUCAUCUCUGUGUUUGUUUGAUCUUUGUAUUUUCCAGCUGUUAAAAAAUUAAGACUUCUUGCUCUGUGUAUUUGUUCUUUUCCUGAUUAUUAUUCCAUAAUUAUUUUUAUGAUCAUUACUCUGAACACUUUCUUAGGCAGAUUACCUUUCUCCACAUCACUUUAAUUCUUCUGGAGUUUUAUCAUGUUUCUUCAUUUGGAAUAUGUUCAUCUGUUGCCUAAUUUUGCCUAACUUGCUGUUUUUAUUUCUAUAUAUUUGGUAGUUUGGUUAUGUUUCCAGACCUUCUAGAAGUGGCCUUUUGUAGGAGAUGCCCUAUGCAUCCCAGCAGAGCACUCCCCUCUGGUCACCAAAGCUAUAUGCUCUAGGAGUGCCCCUGUGUGGGCUGCAUGAGUUCUGUUGGAGCAGGCUGACUACUGUGGGUGGUCUGGUAGGCUUGGUUGGCCCCUGGUCUGCUUGGUUUCCAGGCCCUACCUUGUGCAGAGGCUGACGGCCACUACUUAACAGGGCAGUGUCACAAAGCAGCUGACUGUGGAAGCCUGGGGGGUCCCAGGGCUAGUAUGGUAUCAUUGUUGGGUAGAGUAGGGGUCUAGGUAGGGGUCUAGUUCCUGCCCACUGGAGGGUAAAGCAAGCCCCUGGGGUCUGGUUGCAGUGCCCAAGGAUUCCAGAACUUAUGUUGGACUGCUGGUGUGUGGGGCCAGUUCCUAAUAUGGCUGGCUGCAUGGUCCAGGGUGUCCUGAAGUUUGUGUUGACCUGCUAGUCGGUGGGGCCAGGACCUAUCUGUUCCCAGGAUUGGUGCUAGCCUGCUGGUGGGUGGGCUGGGUCUGCAGACUGUGGGUCUGUGUUUGUCCUGGACUGAUGUCUGCCCAUUGAUGGAUGAGGGUUUUGGUUGUUAUUGUUUUGUUGGGUUUAGUGUUUUUGGUUUUUUUGUUUGUUGGUAGAUUCUUUAUAAUUCUCUACGUACAAGAUCACAUUAUCUGCAAAUACAGAUGGGUUUACUUUUUGCUUUCCUAUCUGAAAACCUCUUAAUUAUUAUUAUUUUUUAAACCAAUUGCCCUGGCUAGAUCCCCUAGUAUUGAAUAGAAGUGCCAAGGAUAGAUAUACUUGUCUUACUCUUUUUUUUUUUUAGGGCCACACACAUGGCACAUGGAAGUUCCCAGGAUAGGAGUCAAAUCAGAGCUACAUCUGCCGGCCUGCACCACAGCCACAGCAACAUGUGGUCCUAGUCAAGUCUGCAACCUACACCACAGUUCAUGACAACACCAGAUCCCUGACCCACUGAGCAAGGCCAGGGAUUGAACCUGCAUCCUUAUGGAUACUAGUCAGAUUAGUUUUCACUGAGCCACAACAGGAACUCCCCUUAUCUUAUUCCUGAUCUUGGUGGAAACCUUUCAAUCUUUCAUCAUUAAGAAUGAUGUUAGAUAGGGGUUUUUCAUAGAUACUCUUAUCAGGUUGAGGAAGUUCCAUCUGUCCCUAGUUUAUUGGAUGUCUUUACCAGGAAAGGAUAUUGUAUUUUUUAAAUUGUUUAUUCUCUAUCUUUUGUUUUAAUCUUGUGGUUGUUUCCCUUUAUUCUGUUAAUAUGGUGUAUUCCAUUAAUUGAUUUUCAAAUAUUAAGUCAACCUUGCAUUCCUGGAAUAAAUUGACAAUGUGGCCAGUGGCUGUCUGUAUCCAAGGUUUCCAUAUCCACAGAAUCAACCAACUGCAGAUAGAGUUUGCCCUUUUUGUUUUUCUUUUUAUGGCUGCACCUGCUCUUAUGGAAGUUCCUGGGAUAGGGCUUGAAUGGGAGCUGCAGCUGCUGGCCUAUGCACAGCCAUGGCAACAGUGGAUCCGAGCCACAUCUGUGACUUAUGCUGCAGAUCCUUAACCCACUGAGUGAGGCCAGGGAUCAAACUCUCAAGGAUGCUAUGUUGGAUUCUUGACCCACUUGAGCCACAAUGGGAACUCCUCAAAUUUGCCAUUGUAUAUAAAGGAUUUUAGCAUCCAUGGAUUUUGGCAUCCAUGGGAUGGAGGGACAUGAGUUCUGGAAUCAAUGUCCUACAGAUGCUGAGGAACAGCUGUAUAAUGCUCUUCAUAUGUUGCUGCUUUGGGUUUGCUAGUAUUUUCUUCAGGAUUUUUCAGUUGUGAUUUUCUCUUUUCUAUAGCUUCUUCCUCCUUUUUUAUUUAGAGAAGAUCUUUCAAUAGCUUCUUCCUUUUCUAUUUAGAGAAGAUCUUUCAAUAUUUCUUUUAGGACAGGAAUUCCCUUCAUGGCACAGCAGAAACGAAUCCAACUAGGAACCAUGAGGUUUCAGGUUUGAUCCCUCACCUUGCUCAGUGGGUUAAGGAUCCAGCAUUGCUGUGAGCUGUGGUGUAGGUCAUAGAUGAGGCUCGGAUCUGGCAUUGCUGUGGCCCUGGCAUAGGUGGGCGGCAACAGCUCCAAUUAGACCCCUAGCCUGGGAACCUCCAUGUGCCAUGGGUGCAGCCCUUAAAAAAAAAGACAGACAAAAAAAAAUUUAUUUUAGGAUAGAUUUAGUAUUGCUGUAUUCUUUUAGUAUUUGCUUGUCUGAGUAAUUCUCUCUCUUUCUAUUCAAAGUGAUAACCUUGCUAAGUAGAGUAUUCUAGGUUGUAGAUUUUUCUCUUUCAGGAAUUUGAAUAUAUCUUGCCUUCUGAACUGCAGUGUUUCUGUAGAGAAAGCAGCCAGUAGCCUUAUGCAUAUUCCCUUGUAAUUAACUCUUUGUUUUUCUCUUGCUGCUUUUAGAAUGCUCUCUUUAUCAUUAAUUUUUACCAUUUAAAUUAUAACAUGUCUUGGUGAAAGUCUGUUAGGGUUCAUCUUGUUUGGGACUUUUUGUGCUUCCUAUACUUGGAUAUCUGUUUCCUUCUUUAGGUUUGGGAAGUUUUCAGCUAUAAUUUCUUCAAAUUCUUUUUAGACUCCUUUUAUCUUCUUCUUCUGGAAUCUAUUAUAUAUACAUAGAUUCGCAUGCUUUAUAUUAUACCAUAGGUCUCUUAUUUUUAUUUUUUCCACUUGGCUUUCUUCUUGCUCUACUAAUUGGGUGACUUCCAUUAUUGUAUUUUCAAGGUCAUGUAUUUGUUCUUUUGCAUUAUUCAUUUUGCUGUUCAUUGCCCUUCCCUCAGCUUUUGUUUCAGCAAAUGAAUUUUCUAAUUUUUCUUGGUUCCUCUUUAUAGUUUCUAAUUCCUUUUUACAAUAAUGCACAUUUCUGUCUAUAGCCUUUAAUUCCUUCAGUACUUUCAUUAUCUCCUUUUUGAACUUGAUAUCUAUUAGACUGAAGAGGUCCGUUUCAUUGUUCUUUCAAAGGAAUUCUCUUGGGUUAACUAUGAGUGGUUCCUCUAUUUCUUCAUUUGACUUAACACUUCUCUUACUCUGUGAGAGAAACAAUUAUCUGCUGUGGUUUUGGAAGGCUAUUUUUAUGUGAGAGUGUCCCUGUAUUUCCUACAUGGGUUUAAUGUUUUUGGUGCAAGGACUGUUUUCAGUAUGGAUGCAUGCCACCUCUUUCCUUGGUAUGUGUCUGGCUGUUAUCGCCUUGAGAGGGGGUAUGUAGGUAAGGCAGCCAUGGAACCCAUGAGAGUGUUGGUGGCAGCACCUGUUGCUUGACUGCAGGGCCAGUGGAGGCAGUGCCCUGUUGGCUGAUUGCACAUUCAGAGAAAGACAUUGUUGUGGCAGCCUUGCCCUCCCCCUCCUUGCAGACUCCAACAGUGGCAUCUCACCUCCAUGGCAGCUCCAGGCCCUGUCCAUGUAUACCCUUGGUUGUGGGUGCACCACACUCCAGUCCCUUCAGGCUGUCUCCAUGCAGCUAACUCUCGUCCUGUCCCCAUCUGACCUCCUAAGCCUGAGCUUUAGCACCCAGCCCCCUCCUGCACUGGGGGAUGCAUGUCCAUUUGGGGAGUACAGUGUGGCAGCACGGACUGUCUGUGCAGGUUUGUUCUGCAAACCAUUUGUUGCACUAUCCUCCAAGGCUUUGAGGCUCACCCUCCAUCUUAAAUGGUCUUUCUGCCUCUGAGGGGGCUGCCCAGGGUGGGGGAGCCUUUCCUCUUUCAUAGCUCCCUCCCAGGGGUGCAGAUCCCAUCUAGAUUCCUUUCUCUCUUUUUCUUUUCUUUUGCCCUGUCUGGUUAUGAGGAAAUUCUUGUCCUUUCAGAAGACAAGGUCUUCUGCCAGUGUUCAGUAGGUAUUCUUUAAGAAUCGUUCCACAUAUAGAUGUAUUUUUUUUUUUUAGGUUGCUCCCACGGCAUGUAGAGUUUCACAAGCUGGGGCUCAAAUCUGAGCCACAGCAGCAACCUGAGCCACUGCAGUGAUCAUGACAGAUUCUCUAUGACAAGGGAACUCCUAUAGAUGCAUAUUUUGAAGUUUUUGUGGGAGGAGGUGAGCUUUAUGACCUCCUACUCCACUAUCUUGAUAGCCCCCUCAUGUUAAUUUUUUUUUUUUUUUUAAGGGCUGCACUUGUGGCAUGUGGAGGUUCCCAGGCUAGGGGUCUAAUCAGAGCUGUUGCUGCCGGCCUACACCAGAGCCACAGCAUCGCCAGGUCCAAGCUGCAUCUGCAGCCUACACCACAGCUCACGGCAAUGCCAGAUCCUUAACCCACUGGGCGAGGCCAGGGAUCAGACCCACAACUUCAUGGUUCCUGGUCGGAUUCAUUUCCACUGUGCCACAGUGGGAACUCCCUCAAAAUAAUUUUUAAAUUUUAACAUUUAACUUUGUUCUAUUCAGUUUUUUUGUUUUUUUGGAUUUUUUUGCUUUUUAGGGCCAUACCUGGGGCAAAUGGAGGUUCCGAGGGUAGGGGUUGAAUCGGAACUACAGCUGCUGGCCUACACUACAGCCAUAGCCAUGCCAGAUAUGAGCCACAUUUGAGUCUGUGACCUACACCACAGCUUACAGCACUGCCAGAUUCUUAGCCCACUGAGCAAGGCCAGGGAAUGAACCUGCAACCUCGUGGUUCCUAGUCACAUUCAUUUCUACUGCACCAGGACAGGAACUCCUGUUCUAUGCAGAUUUUUUUUUUUCUGGUCUUCUUUUUUUUUUCUUUUAGGGCCACAUCUGCAGUAUAUGGAGGUUCCCAGGCUAGGGGUCCAAUUGGAGCUACAGCUGCUGGCCUACACCACAGCCAUGGCCACACCAAAUCUGAGCUGCAUCUGUGACCUACACUGCAGCUCAUGGCAAUGCUGGAUCCUUAACCCACUGAACGAGGCCAGGGAUCGAACUCACAACCUCAUGGUUCCUAGUCGGAUUCGUUAACCACUGCGCCACGACGGGAACUCCCAGGUUUUAAUGUAAUAUUUUCUUUGGGUCUGAAGUUCAUAUGGAAGAAUAAAUAUUUUAGAAUAGUAGCAUUUUGAAAAGGAAGAAAAGAGGUAAGAAAACCUGAUGUUCAAUAGUAUUAAGAAGAUAUGAGAAUUAAAACCAUGUGGUAAUGGUGCCAAAAGAAAUAGGUCGAUCAAAUAUAAAAUUCCUAGUUGCACUUAUAUGUAUAAUUAAGAAUUAAAUGUGAGACAAGCAAGGAAUACUACGUAAAAAGUCAAUGACAUCAUAAUACCCUAAGAAAAUAAAGAUAAUAUAUAACUUGGAUGGUGAAACUUUUAAAACAUGACACUAAGGACAGAAAUCAUGAAAAAUAUUGAUGAAAAAAGUAAAAAUCAAUACAUAUUGUAAGUCAACUAUAAUAAAAUUUUUUCAAUAAAAUAAAUUUUUAAAAAAUUAAAAAACCUUCAAUAAAUAAAAUUUCAUAAGUUAAAUUUCAAAAGACAAAUUAGGAAAAAUAUGUAGUGACACACUGUAUAUAUGAGUAUUCUUAUAGAUAAAAAAACACCUUAAGCGAAAAUAGGUCAGAAUAUGAAUAGAUAAUUCACAAUACAAAAGAAAGCCUUUGGCCAAUAAACUCGUGGAAAAAAGGCCUCAUUAAUUUCUACAUGUAUGCAAAUACAUUUAUUAAAUAUUUAUAAGCCACUGUUCUGGAAUACCUAAUGAUGGGGUAAAAAGCAUGGCUUCUCUGACAUUGAAACGUACAUAAGUUCUCUGUAUUACGAGAAAUGUGGAAAUAAAAUUAAGUCAGA